This 1559-nucleotide ribosomal RNA is filed under the name Salmonella enterica. Its description in RNAcentral is "partial 23S ribosomal RNA". It matches the Rfam family "Bacterial large subunit ribosomal RNA", at positions 1260 to 2802 of the family's 2925-position model. The record is from RNAcentral. Lineage: Bacteria; Pseudomonadati; Pseudomonadota; Gammaproteobacteria; Enterobacterales; Enterobacteriaceae. RNAcentral also lists the same sequence under 1 other name.
GUCGUGAGGCAUGCUGGAGGUAUCAGAAGUGCGAAUGCUGACAUAAGUAACGAUAAAGCGGGUGAAAAGCCCGCUCGCCGGAAGACCAAGGGUUCCUGUCCAACGUUAAUCGGGGCAGGGUGAGUCGACCCCUAAGGCGAGGCCGAAAGGCGUAGUCGAUGGGAAACGGGUUAAUAUUCCCGUACUUGGUGUUACUGCGAAGGGGGGACGGAGAAGGCUAUGUUGGCCGGGCGACGGUUGUCCCGGUUUAAGCGUGUAGGUGUGUGUUCCAGGUAAAUCCGGUUCACUUUAACACUGAGGCGUGACGACGAGGCACUACGGUGCUGAAGCAACAAAUGCCCUGCUUCCAGGAAAAGCCUCUAAGCAUCAGGUAACAUCAAAUCGUACCCCAAACCGACACAGGUGGUCAGGUAGAGAAUACCAAGGCGCUUGAGAGAACUCGGGUGAAGGAACUAGGCAAAAUGGUGCCGUAACUUCGGGAGAAGGCACGCUGACACGUAGGUGAAGUGAUUUACUCAUGGAGCUGAAGUCAGUCGAAGAUACCAGCUGGCUGCAACUGUUUAUUAAAAACACAGCACUGUGCAAACACGAAAGUGGACGUAUACGGUGUGACGCCUGCCCGGUGCCGGAAGGUUAAUUGAUGGGGUCAGCGCAAGCGAAGCUCCUGAUCGAAGCCCCGGUAAACGGCGGCCGUAACUAUAACGGUCCUAAGGUAGCGAAAUUCCUUGUCGGGUAAGUUCCGACCUGCACGAAUGGCGUAAUGAUGGCCAGGCUGUCUCCACCCGAGACUCAGUGAAAUUGAACUCGCUGUGAAGAUGCAGUGUACCCGCGGCAAGACGGAAAGACCCCGUGAACCUUUACUAUAGCUUGACACUGAACAUUGAGCCUUGAUGUGUAGGAUAGGUGGGAGGCUUUGAAGUGUGGACGCCAGUCUGCAUGGAGCCGACCUUGAAAUACCACCCUUUAAUGUUUGAUGUUCUAACGUGGACCCGUUACCCGGGUUGCGGACAGUGUCUGGUGGGUAGUUUGACUGGGGCGGUCUCCUCCUAAAGAGUAACGGAGGAGCACGAAGGUUGGCUAAUCCUGGUCGGACAUCAGGAGGUUAGUGCAAUGGCAUAAGCCAGCUUGACUGCGAGCGUGACGGCGCGAGCAGGUGCGAAAGCAGGUCAUAGUGAUCCGGUGGUUCUGAAUGGAAGGGCCAUCGCUCAACGGAUAAAAGGUACUCCGGGGAUAACAGGCUGAUACCGCCCAAGAGUUCAUAUCGACGGCGGUGUUUGGCACCUCGAUGUCGGCUCAUCACAUCCUGGGGCUGAAGUAGGUCCCAAGGGUAUGGCUGUUCGCCAUUUAAAGUGGUACGCGAGCUGGGUUUAGAACGUCGUGAGACAGUUCGGUCCCUAUCUGCCGUGGGCGCUGGAGAACUGAGGGGGGCUGCUCCUAGUACGAGAGGACCGGAGUGGACGCAUCACUGGUGUUCGGGUUGUCAUGCCAAUGGCACUGCCCGGUAGCUAAAUGCGGAAGAGAUAAGUGCUGAAAGCAUCUAAGCACGAAACUUGCCCCGA